CCCUUAGAUGUUCUGGGCCGCACGCGCGCUACACUGAUGCAUUCAACGAGUCUAAAACCUGCUCUGAUAGGGGUGGGUAAUCUUUUGAAUGUGCAUCGUGAUUGGGAUAGAUGAUUGCAAUUUUUCAUCUUCAACGAGGAAUAUCUAGUAAACGCAAGUCACCAGCUUGCAUUGAUUACGUCCCUGCCCUUUGUACACACCGCCCGUCGCUCCUACCGAUUGAAUGAUCCGAUGAAUAUCAUGGAUUGAGGAUGCAAGCAGGUUCGCCUGUCUUCAUCUUCGAGAAGUGAAGUAAAUCUUAUCAUUUAGAGGAAGGAGAAGUCGUAACA
RNAcentral lists this ribosomal RNA (329 nucleotides) under uncultured eukaryote. RNAcentral describes it as "partial 18S ribosomal RNA". It matches the Rfam family "Eukaryotic small subunit ribosomal RNA", at positions 1470 to 1796 of the family's 1831-position model. The record is from RNAcentral.